GAGGGUAGAGCUCAGUGGUGGAGCACAUGCUUAGCAUGCACGAGGUCCUGGGUUCAAUCCCCAGUGCCUCCA
Molecule: transfer RNA, 72 nt
Filed under: Camelus ferus (Wild Bactrian camel)
Lineage: Eukaryota; Metazoa; Chordata; Mammalia; Artiodactyla; Camelidae
Rfam family: tRNA
About the family: Transfer RNA (tRNA) molecules are approximately 80 nucleotides in length.
Source: Rfam by way of RNAcentral